This 253-nucleotide ribosomal RNA is filed under the name uncultured bacterium. Its description in RNAcentral is "partial 16S ribosomal RNA". It matches the Rfam family "Bacterial small subunit ribosomal RNA", at positions 524 to 776 of the family's 1533-position model. The record is from RNAcentral.
AACGUAGGACACAAGCGUUAUCCGGAGUUACUGGGCGUAAAGGGCUCGUAGGCGGCCAACUAAGUCCGACGUGAAAUCCCAAGGCUUAACCUUGGAACUGCGUCGGAUACUGGAUGGCUUGAAUUCGGGAGAGGGAUGCAGAAUUCCAGGUGUAGCGGUGAAAUGCGUAGAUAUCUGGAGGAAUACCGGUGGCGAAGGCGGCAUCCUGGACCGACAUUGACGCUGAUGAGCGAAAGCUAGGGGAGCAAACGGG